RNAcentral lists this ribosomal RNA (386 nucleotides) under uncultured bacterium. RNAcentral describes it as "bacterial SSU rRNA". It matches the Rfam family "Bacterial small subunit ribosomal RNA", at positions 47 to 428 of the family's 1533-position model. The record is from RNAcentral.
CCUAACACAUGCAAGUCGAACGGUAACAGGAAGAAGCUUAGCUUCUUUGCUGACGAGUGGCGGACGGGUGAGUAAUGUCUGGGAAACUGCCUGAUGGAGGGGGAUAACUACUGGAAACGGUAGCUAAUACCGCAUAACGUCGCAAGACCAAAGAGGGGGACCUUCGGGCCUCUUGCCAUCGGAUGUGCCCAGAUGGGAUUAGCUAGUAGGUGGGGUAACGGCUCACCUAGGCGACGAUCCCUAGCUGGUCUGAGAGGAUGACCAGCCACACUGGAACUGAGACACGGUCCAGACUCCUACGGGAGGCAGCAGUGGGGAAUAUUGCACAAUGGGCGCAAGCCUGAUGCAGCCAUGCCGCGUGUAUGAAGAAGGCCUUCGGGUUGUAA